Molecule: ribosomal RNA, 424 nt
Filed under: uncultured prokaryote
Description: bacterial SSU rRNA
Rfam family: Bacterial small subunit ribosomal RNA
Source: RNAcentral
UCGAGAAUCUUCGGCAAUGGGGGAAACCCUGACCGAGCGACGCCGCGUGUGAGAUGAAGGCCUUCGGGUUGUAAAUCACUGUCAGAGGGGAGGAAAUGUCGGUGGGUUCUCCCACCGAUUUGACCUAUCCUCAGAGGAAGGACGGGCUAAGUUCGUGCCAGCAGCCGCGGUAAUACGGACCGUCCAAACGUUAUUCGGAAUCACUGGGCUUAAAGGGUGCGUAGGCGGUCCGGGAAGUUGGGUGUGAAAGCCCUCGGCUCAACCGAGGAACUGCGCCCAAAACUGCCGGGCUAGAGGGAGACAUAGGUGAGCGGAACUUAGGGUGGAGCGGUGAAAUGCGUUGAGAUCCUAAGGAACACCAGUAGCGAAAGCGGCUCACUGGGUCUCUUCUGACGCUGAAGCACGAAAGCUAGGGGAGCGAAGA